RNAcentral lists this ribosomal RNA (460 nucleotides) under uncultured bacterium. RNAcentral describes it as "partial 16S ribosomal RNA". It matches the Rfam family "Bacterial small subunit ribosomal RNA", at positions 338 to 795 of the family's 1533-position model. The record is from RNAcentral.
CCUACGGGUGGCUGCAGUGAGGAAUAUUGGUCAAUGGACGAGAGUCUGAACCAGCCAAGUAGCGUGAAGGAUGACUGCCCUAUGGGUUGUAAACUUCUUUUAUAUGGGAAUAAAAUGUUCCACGUGUGGGAUUUUGUAUGUACCAUAUGAAUAAGGAUCGGCUAACUCCGUGCCAGCAGCCGCGGUAAUACGGAGGAUCCGAGCGUUAUCGGGGUUUAUUGGGUUUAAAGGGAGCGUAGGGGGAUUGUUAAGUCAGUUGUGAAAGUUUGCGGCUCAACCGUAAAAUUGCAGUUGAAACUGGCAGUCUUGAGUACAGUAGAGGUGGGCGGAAUGCGUGGUGUAGCGGUGAAAUGCUUAGAUAUCACGAAGAACUCCGAUUGCGAAGGCAGUUCACUGGACUGCAACUGACACUGAGGCUCGAAAGUGUGGGUAUCAAACAGGAUUAGAUACCCGUGUAGUC